UACAGUGAUAAGUUAACUUCCUUAAGAAAAUUAUAGAGCCCUGCUAUGGUUCAUGCAUUCCCUUUCACAUUUAUUACUUGACUCUGCAGUAAAGUUAAUCAGCCAACUAUAGUAUAACAGGUCAAUUAUUUCCACUAGUAUUCAACUUAGUGCAACAAAUUAACUAUUGUUUCCUUGUUUUAUCUGGUUUUUCUUGGCAGCUUGGUCUCUUUGUGGGAUAGAGAGAAAGAAAGAGAUAAAAGAGAUGAGCAUUAUUUAUUUAAAAUUUGUGGAGUAGAACUGAUUUUUUUUGAAAUCAUGGCAUCUCACUCCCCUUUACACCAUUGCAAACUGGAACUUUAUAUGUACUGAUGCUGAGUGUUAUACUUUUGUGUUUGUGUAUCUUAUUUUCUUUUCGGUUCCCUUUACACCAUUGCAAACUGGAACUUUAUAUGACAUGUCGUCUGAAUUUUAAUUAAAAGACUUGCUUUAUUCUUGAUCAUACAUUACUGUCAUCACAUACUCGCUUUGUUCUAUAGAAAUUUAUUGACCGAUUUCUUUUGCUAUUAUCGGUUCCAGGACAUGAGUAUGCUAAAAUCGGGGCUGAUAUUGAAGAAAGAGCUGGAUGAAAAGCUUGAACAGAAGUUUCAAGACAUGGUGAAAAAAUUGGCAGAGUCGAAUCCGGGUUUGAAGAUCAACCUCGAUGAGUCCGACAAGUCGACAGAUUCAGAAGUAGAUGCUGAGUCUCUUGAGACUGAUCAGUAGUUAUGAUUGUCACAAUUCUACUCUCUUUUGGUUAAAAUUAACUCGGUUAACUCUAGUAAUUAACUCUUGAUUAUGAUGUAUUUAGUUUUAUGCACCAGUACUUGUUGUGCUGUAGUUGCUGGUUGGUAUAGCUAGGGUUGGACCUCUGUUUUUGGUACUUAUUGGAAUUGUGUUUGUUGUUGGAUAUUGGUUGGUAAAUUUGAAAUGGGAAGUGCUAUUUUCA
This 967-nucleotide long non-coding RNA is filed under the name Daucus carota (carrot). Its description in RNAcentral is "long non-coding RNA (DCAR_LNC007246)". Lineage: Eukaryota; Viridiplantae; Streptophyta; Magnoliopsida; Apiales; Apiaceae. The record is from RNAcentral.